Halorubrum lacusprofundi ATCC 49239 is the source of this 122-nucleotide ribosomal RNA. The record is from Rfam. NCBI's taxonomy places the organism in Archaea, Methanobacteriati, Methanobacteriota, Halobacteria, Halobacteriales, Haloferacaceae.
AAAGGCGGCCAUAGCGGUGGAGCAACACCCGUACCCAUUCCGAACACGGAAGUUAAGCCCACCAGCGUACCGGGAAGUACUGGAGUGAGCGAUCCUCUGGGAACCGCGGUUCGCCGCCUACC